Molecule: ribosomal RNA, 422 nt
Filed under: uncultured bacterium
Lineage: Bacteria
Also listed under: 2 other names
Description: bacterial SSU rRNA
Rfam family: Bacterial small subunit ribosomal RNA
Source: RNAcentral
UGAGGAAUAUUGGUCAAUGGGUGCAAGCCUGAACCAGCCAUCCCGCGUGAAGGACGACUGCCCUAUGGGUUGUAAACUUCUUUUGUAUAGGGAUAAACCUUUCCACGUGUGGAAAGCUGAAGGUACUAUACGAAUAAGCACCGGCUAACUCCGUGCCAGCAGCCGCGGUAAUACGGAGGGUGCAAGCGUUAUCCGGAUUUAUUGGGUUUAAAGGGUCCGUAGGCGGACUUAUAAGUCAGUGGUGAAAGCCUGUCGCUUAACGAUAGAACUGCCAUUGAUACUGUAAGUCUUGAGUAUAUUUGAGGUAGCUGGAAUAAGUAGUGUAGCGGUGAAAUGCAUAGAUAUUACUUAGAACACCAAUUGCGAAGGCAGGUUACCAAGAUAUAACUGACGCUGAGGGACGAAAGCGUGGGGAGCGAACA